RNAcentral lists this ribosomal RNA (70 nucleotides) under Pseudomonas jessenii. The record is from RNAcentral. Lineage: Bacteria; Pseudomonadati; Pseudomonadota; Gammaproteobacteria; Pseudomonadales; Pseudomonadaceae. RNAcentral also lists the same sequence under 1 other name.
CUUGACGACCAUAGAGCGUUGGAACCACCUGAUCCCAUCCCGAACUCAGCAGUGAAACGAUGCAUCGCCG